CGAGGAGGCGGUAGGGCAAGUCCGAGGUGGAAUCCUAUGGCUUAACCAUAGAAUUGCCUUGGAAACUGCUUUACUUGAGUCAGUGAGGGGAGGGCGGAAUUCCUGGUGUAGCGGUGAAAUGCGUAGAUAUCAGGAGGAAGGCCAGUGGCGAAGGCGGCCCUCUGGCACUGCACUGACGCUGAGGCGCGAAAGCGUGGGGAGCAAACAGGAUUAGAUACCCUGGUAGUCC
This 229-nucleotide ribosomal RNA is filed under the name uncultured bacterium. Its description in RNAcentral is "partial 16S ribosomal RNA". It matches the Rfam family "Bacterial small subunit ribosomal RNA", at positions 568 to 796 of the family's 1533-position model. The record is from RNAcentral.